CCAGACUCCUACGGGAGGCAGCAGUGGGGAAUAUUGCACAAUGGGGGAAACCCUGAUGCAGCGACGCCGCGUGUGGGAAGACGGUCCUCUGGAUUGUAAACCACUGUCCCCAGGGACGAAGAUGACGGUACCUGGGGAGGAAGCUCCGGCUAACUACGUGCCAGCAGCCGCGGUAAUACGUAGGGAGCGAGCGUUGUCCGGAAUUACUGGGUGUAAAGGGAGCGUAGGCGGGACUGCAAGUUGGGUGUCAAAUCUACCGGCUCAACCGGUAGCCGCACUCAAAACUGCAGUUCUUGAGUGAAGUAGAGGCAGGCGGAAUUCCUAGUGUAGCGGUGAAAUGCGUAGAUAUUAGGAGGAACACCAGUGGCGAAGGCGGCCUGCUGGGCCUUUACUGACGCUGAGGCUCGAAAGCUAGGGGAGCGAACAGGAUUAGAUACCCGUGUAGG
This 446-nucleotide ribosomal RNA is filed under the name uncultured bacterium. RNAcentral describes it as "bacterial SSU rRNA". It matches the Rfam family "Bacterial small subunit ribosomal RNA", at positions 331 to 794 of the family's 1533-position model. The record is from RNAcentral.